ACCAGGUCUUUUUUUUCCUCCGCAUUGAUACUCUUACAUGGGAGAAUUCUUUGCUCAGGGGAUGAAACAGGGCAGAGCUGUAGCAGUCUUGCUUUCUUCUAGCAUCAAACUUCCCUGAAGACCUCUGAGAUCGUUUUAAGUCUGUCCCUCCUGCCCUUUAAUCAGCCUUGAUGUUUCUCUCUGAACUCCCUCCAGUAUGUCUACAUUUUUUGCUGAUAAACUACUGAAAUCUCCCACCUCCACUCUAAUUCCUAGCAAAGAGAGGAACAAAAGGAAACUACCGUGAGUGACUGCUUGUGUUUCAGCUCUGUCUGCCUCUCAAAAGACCACUCACAGACCCCUUAAAAUGCACUGCAGACUUUCUUGGUGCCUGGCUUGUCCAGUUCACCCUUUCUAGCAUCAUACCAGUAAUAUGCUGUGCAACUGGCCACUCUGACAGCUUUCAUGAUGCCGAAGUUUAUGGCAACUGUAAAUCUAUUAAGCCACAAUUUGCACUUAAUAAAAUGAAACAGCAAGUAGUUAAAUGAAAGCUCAAUCCUAAACUGGAGAACAUUUUUCAGGAAAAGUCAUUGAGCCUGCCGUUGCUACUGCUGCCUUCCUUUGAGAAAUUCAAUCGUGCUGAUUGAGGAAACCUGGAGAGAGCCGGCUAUUCCUUCCUUCGGUUCGUAAUUGCCCUGUAGACCAUUUAAUCAUCUGUAGAUGAAACAAAGCCUGUGCUGUGGAGUCCCGGAAGGGCAGGCAUGAGCUUAUCAAACGCUUCCUACCCACCGAGCAGAGCUGGGAGCUCAUCCCGGUGCCUCUGAGCAGCCCUGCUGUCAAAGCAAGGAGCUGAGAGGAGACUGGCUCUUCCUGCUGUCACUACGCCGGCCUUCCUGCCUGCCUUGAUUUUAUUACAGUAAAGUCUGCACAAGCCAAUUUUUCAGGAGCGGGCUUCAGAGCAGAGAAUGAAGGUCUUUCUGCCAGAGAAGGCAAGCAAGCACUGAGACACCCGCCAGGACAAGAGCUGCUUGAUGCUGUCUUGACAAGAUGAGAUAAGCACUGAAAGCAAGGAUUUACUGGCUCCUGUAAAACAUAUUUCUCUGUCAACUUUAAAAUGUCAUUCUUCAUACCCCCGGCUCUGUCAAUGCUCCAUAUUGUGGUGUUUCUGGGUGACCAAGUGGAUGGCCUUGUUUACAGAUGAAUAGUCUGGUCAGAAACCAUAUGCCCAGUUUCAUUAACUAGAAGAAAAAAAAUAAAGCCUGGCCAGGGGAGGCACUGAGAGCUCGAAAACCUGAUCCAUCAUACUAAUUGGUUUGGAAUAUUAGCCUUUAGUUGAGAUUUGAAAUCCAUUUCCUCCUGAAUAUAGGCAAUUUGCCUAACAGCUCAGGCACUGUACACAACCACGUAAAGCUUGACAUGCUGCCCUCGACUCCUAGCUCGUAUUUUCUGGAAUACACCGAGAGAAUGCAGCACUUAAAAUAGAGUUACAAGAACUGGCUGCUCCUGGGAGGGCAUCUCUGGGCACGUACCUUCCCCCCUCCUGAAAUCUUCAUCGGGAAGAAUUCUUAUGAUGAUUUUUAAUUCACAGAAAACACUCAGUGCUGACUAAUGCCUGCCAAUUAAGUUCAGCCCAUUGAAUCAACAGUUUCCUGUUACCUGUUCCUUCAGGUAGAACAGCGACUGAUACCCCUGCCCUUUCCCAGGCUUCUGUGCAGGGACCUUUCCUGCCUGAAAACAGUGGGGACACCUGUUUCCCGAGCACGGAAGGCCAGCACCUGAAAUCCUAGGAAUGGGCCCACUAUUGAGAAAAGGGUGCUUGAUAAGGCAGCCACUGUGAUAGGCAGCGGAAAUUUGAUGAUGAAAGGAGAUGCCUAAUAGAUUAAUCUGGUGUGAUUUGCCAAAACACAGGGUUUUCUGGAAGAUUAUCCACACUCGCAAUAGGAAGCCCUUUGUUUUGUAAAAGUCCCCACUUAUCAUGGUAUUCUUUAUCUCAACAAGAAACAUAAUGGUUUACUUGUUUACAUGCAUGGCAGAUAUAUUCAGAGCCGGGCUUAGGAACUGUGAACUCCUUUUCAUUUGAAAUGUUUCCAGCAGGCAGGUUAUUAGCUGAGGGGGAACAAGCAGUUGGACACACAUAAAAUUUAAAUCUGCCUUGCUUAGAUUGGCAAAAAUGAAUGUUAUUUCAUCCACUGGGAAAAUGUUUUACUUCCUGCUCAAAUACUUUUGGAAGAAAAUCACAAGCUCAUUUGUAGCCAUCAUAUAUGUAUGUAUAUAUUUUUUUUAGAGUUAAGUGGUAUGUCUACAGAAACGUAUUUGUUACCAUAUACCAGUUAUUUUCCACUAAUAUUAAUUAUUUUAUUAGCUUGUCUUUACUUCUUCAAUUUUACUGUGCUUACUAUAAAAUGUGACUGAUGGCUUUACAUUAUUUAUACUGAAUGUGUGGCUGGAAUCUAGCCCUUGAUGUACCUUGGAUAGAACUGCUUUGGUUUCUGGAAUUGAUUUUUAAAUACCUUACACAUCCGGGACUGCAGAACUACCAAAGCACUGUGUUCUUGAACUCUGAAAAUAAACAAAAACUACCGUGUUAGAAAACAGCUUUAUUGAAGCCCUUUUUAGCAAUCUUACAUCAACAGAGUUUUUCAUGGAGUGCAAUAUUAAGCUUGCUGGAUACACAAUGUACACGCUGUACAAAAGCGUGCGCAGC
Non-coding RNA from Phalacrocorax carbo (great cormorant), 2683 nucleotides. NCBI's taxonomy places the organism in Eukaryota, Metazoa, Chordata, Aves, Suliformes, Phalacrocoracidae. The record is from RefSeq and is a predicted model, not a curated record.